AGUAAUAACUAGGGGGGUCCGAUGAGUCGGGCUGAGAGAGAAACGCGAUGAAGUUUCGUUACCCUUUGGACCUGAUCUGGCUCAUACCAGCGUAGGGAAGUUAGUAAGCGCGCUC
Non-coding RNA from Lysinibacillus sp. BF-4, 115 nucleotides. The record is from Rfam. Lineage: Bacteria; Bacillati; Bacillota; Bacilli; Caryophanales; Bacillaceae.